This 544-nucleotide ribosomal RNA is filed under the name Plectranthias kelloggi (eastern flower porgy). RNAcentral describes it as "partial 16S large subunit ribosomal RNA". It matches the Rfam family "Bacterial large subunit ribosomal RNA", at positions 130 to 1050 of the family's 2925-position model. Lineage: Eukaryota; Metazoa; Chordata; Actinopteri; Perciformes; Anthiadidae. The record is from RNAcentral.
UGCCGACCAGCUAGCCCUCAUAACUAACACCAACAAACAACUAUUUAUACCCCCUAAUGUACCAAUGUAUAUAAGAAUAAAUCAUUUUUCCCCCUAAGUAUGGGCGACAGAAAAGGAGCAACGGAGCGACAGAGAGAGUACCGCAAGGGAAAGCUGAAAGAGAAGUGAAAUAAUCCAGUGAAGCCCCGUAAAGCAAAGAUUAAACCUUGUACCUUUUGCAUCAUGAUUUAGCCAGUGUCUACCGAGCAAAAAGCAUUUUAGUUUGUUUACCCGAAACUUCGUGAGCUACUCCAAGACAGCCUAAUUAAUAGGGCGAACCCGUCUCUGUUGCAAAAGAGUGGGAAGAGCUUCGAGUAGAGGUGAUAAACCUACCGAACCUAGUUAUAGCUGGUUGCCUAGGAAACGAAUAGGAGUUCAGCCUCCUGGCUUCUUCCUUCACCCAAGUAAGACUUUUUAAGAUGUCAAAGAAACCACGAGAGUUAUUCAAAGGGGGUACAGCUCCUUUGAUAUAAGAUACAACUUUCUAAGGCGGGUAAAGAUCAUA